AACGAACGCUGGCGGCAUGCCUAACACAUGCAAGUCGAACGAAACCUUCGGGACUUUUGGCGCCCGGGUGCGUCACGCGUCGGAACCUUCCCUUAGGUUCGGACUACCUCCCCGACUGGGGUGCCAAUGCCGGAUCAUGUCUUCUGCCCAAGGAUUUAUCGCCUUUGGAUGUUCCCGCGUUGGAUUAGCUCGUUCCUAGGGUAAUAGAAUACCACGGCGACGAUCCAUAGCUGGUUUGAGAGGCUGGUCCGCGACACUGGGACUGAGACACGGCCCAGAAUCCUACGGAAGGCAGGAGUGGCGAAUAUUGGAAAGUGGGCGAAAGCAUGAAGCAGCAAUGCCGCGUGAGUGAUGAAGGCCUUAGGGUUGUAAAGCUCUUUUAACCGGGAUGAUAAUGACAGUACCGGGAGAAUAAGCUCCGGCUAACUCCGUG
This 433-nucleotide ribosomal RNA is filed under the name uncultured bacterium. RNAcentral's name for it is "partial 16S ribosomal RNA". It matches the Rfam family "Bacterial small subunit ribosomal RNA", at positions 29 to 507 of the family's 1533-position model. The record is from RNAcentral.